AUAAGCUUACGGACUGUAGAGGUCUAUAGAAAAGAUUUAUCGCUUGAGGAUGAGGCUGCGCGCCAUCAGCUAGUUGGUAAGGUAAUGGCUUACCAAGGCGACGACGGCUAGGGGACCUGAGAGGGUGACCCCCCCACACUGGGACUGAGACACGGCCCAGACUCCUACGGAGGCAGCAGUGAGGAAUAUUGCUCAAUGGGCGCAAGCCUGAAGCAGCGACGCCGCGUGGAUGAAGAAGGUUUUCGGACUGUAAAAUCCUUUUCUGUGUGACGAGAGUGGACGGUAGCACAGGAAUAAGCCUCGGCUAACUACGUG
This 315-nucleotide ribosomal RNA is filed under the name uncultured bacterium. RNAcentral describes it as "bacterial SSU rRNA". It matches the Rfam family "Bacterial small subunit ribosomal RNA", at positions 173 to 507 of the family's 1533-position model. The record is from RNAcentral.